GGGUUGUGAGGUUAAGCGACUAAGCGUACACGGUGGAUGCCCUGGCAGUCAGAGGCGAUGAAGGACGUGCUAAUCUGCGAAAAGCGUCGGUAAGGUGAUAUGAACCGUUAUAGCCGGCGAUGUCCGAAUGGGGAAACCCAGUGCAAUCCGUUGCACUAUCGUUAAGUGAAUACAUAGCUUAACGAGGCGAACCGGGGGAACUGAAACAUCUAAGUACCCCGAGGAAAAGAAAUCAACCGAGAUUCCCCCAGUAGCGGCGAGCGAACGGGGAGCAGCCCAGAGCCUGAAUCAGCAUGUGUGGUAGUGGAACGGUCUGGAAAGGCCGGCGAUACAGGGUGACAGCCCCGUACACAAAAUUGCACGUGCUGUGAGCUCGAUGAGUAGGGCGGGACACGUGGUAUCCUGUCUGAAUAUGGGGGGACCAUCCUCCAAGGCUAAAUACUCCUGACUGACCGAUAGUGAACCAGUACCGUGAGGGAAAGGCGAAAAGAACCCCGGCGAGGGGAGUGAAAAAGAACCUGAAACCGUGUACGUACAAGCAGUGGGAGCCUCUUUUAUGGGGUGACUGCGUACCUUUUGUAUAAUGGGUCAGCGACUUAUAUUCUGUAGCAAGGUUAACCG
Molecule: ribosomal RNA, 621 nt
Filed under: Citrobacter farmeri
Lineage: Bacteria; Pseudomonadati; Pseudomonadota; Gammaproteobacteria; Enterobacterales; Enterobacteriaceae
Description: partial 23S ribosomal RNA
Rfam family: Bacterial large subunit ribosomal RNA
Source: RNAcentral